GACGAACGCUGGCGGCGUGCCUAACACAUGCAAGUCGAGCGGAGACAGUGAGUAGCUUGCUACGAGCUGUUUUAGCGGCGGACGGGUGAGUAACGCGUGAGCAACCUUUCCCAGACAGGGGAAUAACACACCGAAAGGUGUACUAAUACCGCAUAAGACCACGGGAUCACAUGGUUCUGGGGUAAAAGAUUUAUCGGUUUGGGGUGGGCUCGCGUCCGAUUAGGUAGUUGGUGAGGUAACGGCCCACCAAGCCGACGAUCGGUAGCCGACCUGAGAGGGUGAUCGGCCACAUUGGGACUGAGACACGGCCCAAACUCCUACGGGAGGCAGCAGUGGGGAAUAUUGGGCAAUGGAGGAAACUCUGACCCAGCAACGCCGCGUGGAGGAAGAAGGUUUUCGGAUCGUAAACUCCUGUCCUUGGAGACGAGUAGAA
RNAcentral lists this ribosomal RNA (433 nucleotides) under uncultured bacterium. RNAcentral's name for it is "bacterial SSU rRNA". It matches the Rfam family "Bacterial small subunit ribosomal RNA", at positions 28 to 454 of the family's 1533-position model. The record is from RNAcentral.